This 392-nucleotide ribosomal RNA is filed under the name uncultured Gammaproteobacteria bacterium. RNAcentral describes it as "bacterial SSU rRNA". It matches the Rfam family "Bacterial small subunit ribosomal RNA", at positions 370 to 779 of the family's 1533-position model. Lineage: Bacteria; Pseudomonadati; Pseudomonadota; Gammaproteobacteria. The record is from RNAcentral.
AAUGGGCGCAAGCCUGAUCCAGCCAUGCCGCGUGAGUGAUGAAGGCCUUAGGGUCGUAAAGCUCUUUCGCCAGAGAUGUUAAUGACAGUAUCUGGUAAAGAAACCCCGGCUAACUCCGUGCCAGCAGCCGCGGUAAUACGGAGGGGGUUAGCGUUGUUCGGAAUUACUGGGCGUAAAGCGCACGUAGGCGGACUGGAAAGUUGGGGGUGAAAUCCCGGGGCUCAACCCCGGAACUGCCUCCAAAACUAUCAGUCAAGAGUUCGAGAGGGGUGAGUGGAAUUCCGAGUGUAGAGGUGAAAUUCGUAGAUAUUCGGAGGAACACCAGUGGCGAAGGCGGCUCACUGGCUCGAUACUGACGCUGAGGUGCGAAAGUGUGGGGAGCAAACAGGAUU